GACGGAGGGCGCAAGCGUUGUUCGGAAUUACUGGGCGUAAAGCGCGCGCAGGCGGGAAGGGAAGUCUGGAGUGAAAUUCCGGGGCUCAACUCCGGAGCUGCUUUGGAUACUGUCUUUCUAGGGACCGGUAGAGGCCGGUGGAAUUCCCGGUGUAGCGGUGGAAUGCGUAGAGAUCGGGAGGAACACCAGUGGCGAAGGCGGUCCCCUGGGCCGGGCCUGACGCUGAGGCGCGAAAGCGUGGGGAGCGAUCCGG
Molecule: ribosomal RNA, 253 nt
Filed under: uncultured bacterium
Lineage: Bacteria
Description: partial 16S ribosomal RNA
Rfam family: Bacterial small subunit ribosomal RNA
Source: RNAcentral